Long non-coding RNA from Xenia sp. Carnegie-2017, 94 nucleotides. RefSeq lists it as uncharacterized. The transcript has 3 exons. NCBI's taxonomy places the organism in Eukaryota, Metazoa, Cnidaria, Anthozoa, Malacalcyonacea, Xeniidae. The record is from RefSeq and is a predicted model, not a curated record.
AUUACUUAACAUCUUUGCACAUUUCAGAAGGAGAGACAACUCUAAAAUUCAAUAAUUUUCAUGACAUGCAAACUCAGCGUUGAUACAACUGCUU